Molecule: ribosomal RNA, 550 nt
Filed under: uncultured bacterium
Lineage: Bacteria
Description: bacterial SSU rRNA
Rfam family: Bacterial small subunit ribosomal RNA
Source: RNAcentral
UAGGGAAUCUUCGGCAAUGGGGGCAACCCUGACCGAGCAACGCCGCGUGAGUGAAGAAGGUUUUCGGAUCGUAAAGCUCUGUUGUAAGUCAAGAACGAGUGUGAGAGUGGAAAGUUCACACUGUGACGGUAGCUUACCAGAAAGGGACGGCUAACUACGUGCCAGCAGCCGUGGUAAUACGUAGGUCCCGAGCGUUGUCCGGAUUUAUUGGGCGUAAAGCGAGCGCAGGCGGUUUGAUAAGUCUGAAGUUAAAGGCUGUGGCUCAACCAUAGUUCGCUUUAGAAACUGUCAAACUUGAGUGCAGAAGGGGAGAGUGGAAUUCCAUGUGUAGCGGUGAAAUGCGUAGAUAUAUGGAGGAACACCGGUGGCGAAAGCGGCUCUCUGGUCUGUAACUGACGCUGAGGCUCGAAAGCGUGGGGAGCGAACAGGAUUAGAUACCCUGGUAGUCCACGCCGUAAACGAUGAGUGCUAGGUGUUGGAUCCUUUCCGGGAUUCAGUGCCGCAGCUAACGCAUUAAGCACUCCGCCUGGGGAGUACGACCGCAAGGUUG